This 23-nucleotide non-coding RNA is filed under the name Arabidopsis thaliana (thale cress). Lineage: Eukaryota; Viridiplantae; Streptophyta; Magnoliopsida; Brassicales; Brassicaceae. The record is from RNAcentral.
AUUUUGCUGAUUCUGUUCUUCAG